This 75-nucleotide transfer RNA is filed under the name Desulfoglaeba alkanexedens ALDC. RNAcentral describes it as "tRNA-Val". It matches the Rfam family "tRNA". From Rfam's summary of the family: Transfer RNA (tRNA) molecules are approximately 80 nucleotides in length. The record is from RNAcentral. RNAcentral also lists the same sequence under 1 other name. Lineage: Bacteria; Pseudomonadati; Thermodesulfobacteriota; Syntrophobacteria; Syntrophobacterales; Syntrophobacteraceae.
AGGCACGUAGCUCAGCGGGAGAGCGCUACCUUGACGCGGUAGAAGUCGGCGGUUCGAUCCCGCCCGUGCCUACCA